RNAcentral lists this ribosomal RNA (1022 nucleotides) under uncultured Synechococcus sp. RNAcentral describes it as "bacterial SSU rRNA". It matches the Rfam family "Bacterial small subunit ribosomal RNA", at positions 50 to 1127 of the family's 1533-position model. The record is from RNAcentral. Lineage: Bacteria; Bacillati; Cyanobacteriota; Cyanophyceae; Synechococcales; Synechococcaceae.
UACACAUGCAAGUCGAACGAACCUUCGGGUUAGUGGCGGACGGGUGAGUAACGCGUGAGAAUCUGCCCUCAGGAGGGGGAUAACAGCUGGAAACGGCUGCUAAUACCCCAUAUGCCGCGAGGUGAAAUGAAUUUCGCCUGAGGAUGAGCUCGCGUCUGAUUAGCUAGUUGGUGUAGGUAAUGGCUCACCAAGGCUUCGAUCAGUAGCUGGUCUGAGAGGAUGAUCAGCCACACUGGGACUGAGACACGGCCCAGACUCCUACGGGAGGCAGCAGUGGGGAAUUUUCCGCAAUGGGCGAAAGCCUGACGGAGCAACGCCGCGUGAGGGAUGAAGGCCUCUGGGCUGUAAACCUCUUUUCUCAAGGAAGAAGAUCUGACGGUACUUGAGGAAUAAGCCACGGCUAAUUCCGUGCCAGCAGCCGCGGUAAUACGGGAGUGGCAAGCGUUAUCCGGAAUUAUUGGGCGUAAAGCGUCCGCAGGCGGCCCUUCAAGUCUGCUGUUAAAACGUGGAGCUUAACUCCAUCAUGGCAGUGGAAACUGUUGGGCUUGAGUGUGGUAGGGGCAGAGGGAAUUCCCGGUGUAGCGGUGAAAUGCGUAGAUAUCGGGAAGAACACCAGUGGCGAAGGCGCUCUGCUGGGCCAUAACUGACGCUCAUGGACGAAAGCCAGGGGAGCGAAAGGGAUUAGAUACCCCUGUAGUCCUGGCCGUAAACGAUGAACACUAGGUGUCGGGGGAAUCGACCCUCUCGGUGUCGUAGCCAACGCGUUAAGUGUUCCGCCUGGGGAGUACGCACGCAAGUGUGAAACUCAAAGGAAUUGACGGGGGCCCGCACAAGCGGUGAGUAUGUGGUUUACUUCGAUGCAACGCGAGAACCUUACCAGGGCUUGACAUCCUGCGAAUCUCUGGAAACGAGAGAGUGCCUUCGGAGCGCAGUGACAGUGGUGCAUGACUGUCGUCAGCUCGGUCGUGAAAUGUGGGUUAAGUCCCGCACGAGCGCACCCACGUCUUAGUGGCCAGCAUUAG